UUGGGAUUCACCCAAAGCUCCCCGCAGCAGUAUCCCCGGUGGUCCCAAGAGGCCUGGCUUCACAGGGCCCCCAGAGCGGCCCGGGAGCUCGGGUCCUUGGCGGCCUGGGCUCGGGCCUGCAGGUGCAGGGCAGGGGAAGGAGGGGCGGCCCAGGCCCACCUCUGGGUCCCGGACCCUGUCACUGGCGCUCAGGUGGUCUUCCACCGCCCCGCCCAGGGUUCCCCGCCCCCGGGGUCCCCACCUCCCCACCCCUGGGAUGCCAGGCACCCCCCGGGGUCCCUGCUCCCCUGGGAUCCCCGACCCUCCAUCCCCGCGAUCCCCGCCCUCCCAUCCCCGAGAUCUCCGCCUCCCCGGGGGUCCCCGCCCCCCAUCUCCGGGUCCCCGCCCCCCCGGGGUCCCCCCAUCCCCGGAGUCCCCCAUCCCCAGGAUCCCAGCCCCCCCCGGGGUCCCCGCCCCCCCGGGGUCCCGCCCCCAUCCCCCGGAUUCCAGGCCCCCCCCCGGGGUCCCUGCCCCCUUGGGAUUCCCGACCCUCCAUCCCGGCGAUCCCUGCCCUCCCAUCCCCGAGAUCUCCGCCUCCCCGGGGGUCCCCGCCCCCCAUCCCCGGGAUCCCCGCCCCCCAGGGUCCCCCCCAUCCCCGGGGUCCCUGCCCCCCUGGGAUCCCCGCCCCCCCGGGGUCCCGCCCCCCCAUGCCGGGAGUCCCCCGCCCCGGCGGAGUCACAUGCGCGCGCACCCGGCGGGGGGUGGACCGCUGCCAGUCCCGGGGCAGCCCCGCUCUGCCGCUCGGCCGCAGCCACAGCCACGGCCCCACAGCCACGGCCGGUCCGCGCGGGCUUGGCCAGGUGUGGGGCCGCCGCCCCGGGGAGCCCCUCCCAGCGCGGGGACCGGCCUCCCGGCGCCGCCCGCUCACUGCCGCCGCUCCUCCAGCCCGCGGCCCCGGGUGGGGGUGGUGGGGCCCGCGCGUCCCCCGUGGUCGCCGGGCCAGCCCGCGCACCUGUCCCCGCCGUGAGACGACCUUCCUGGAGCCAAACGACAGCACGUGCUUCUGCCGCAGAAGGUGCCCUCGGGGUCCCGCCCGGGGCUCGAGCCGCUCCGGAGCAUCCACGCCUCCGCCCCCGCCGCCUUUGCUCGUCCUCCCCGGACCCGGGGGGCCGUCGCCCCUGCAGGACCCCUGGCUCGGCCUGGGCGCCCUCCCGGCCUUUGCACAACCCGUUACCAGCUGUGCCAGCUGCGGCCGGCUUCCCUGCUCUUGGAGGCCUCGGUUUGCCCGACUGUGAAACGGGAACAGUGCCUCGUGUGGCCGCCCCGGGCCUUGGGGUCACGCCGGCACCGGUGGAGCGCGCGGGCAGUGCCCGGCUGGCAGCGGCAUUCAAGGCUCUCCGCGGCUCUCAACAGCUUACUCCACUUUCCGUUUCUUCACGCGGUUCUAAGCGUUUCAAGACCUUGCCUUUGCUCAGCAUCUAUCACGAAGGCAGCGUUUCCGUGACCUAUAAACGCCACGUGCAAGGUAUCACACUUAAUGGGAUACUUUUCUGUUCUCCAGCAGCUCCCAACAUACUUAGUCCGUAG
Molecule: long non-coding RNA, 1566 nt
Filed under: Canis lupus dingo (dingo)
Lineage: Eukaryota; Metazoa; Chordata; Mammalia; Carnivora; Canidae
Description: lncRNA (ENSCAFG00020019130.1)
Source: RNAcentral